This 484-nucleotide ribosomal RNA is filed under the name uncultured bacterium. RNAcentral's name for it is "partial 16S ribosomal RNA". It matches the Rfam family "Bacterial small subunit ribosomal RNA", at positions 29 to 507 of the family's 1533-position model. The record is from RNAcentral.
AUUGAACGCUGGCGGCAUGCUUUACACAUGCAAGUCGAACGGCAGCGCGGGCUUCGGCCUGGCGGCGAGUGGCGAACGGGCGAGUAAUACAUCGGAACGUGCCCAGUAGUGGGGGAUAGCUCGGCGAAAGCCGGAUUAAUACCGCAUACGACCUGGGGGUGAAAGCGGGGGAUCUUCGGACCUCGCGCUAUUGGAGCGGCCGAUGGCAGAUUAGCUAGUUGGUGGGGUAAAGGCCUACCAAGGCGACGAUCUGUAGCUGGUCUGAGAGGACGACCAGCCACACUGGGACUGAGACACGGCCCAGACUCCUACGGGAGGCAGCAGUGGGGAAUUUUGGACAAUGGGCGAAAGCCUGAUCCAGCAAUGCCGCGUGUGUGAUGAAGGCCUUCGGGUUGUAAAGCACUUUUGGCGGGAACGAAAAGGACUGUGCCAAUACCACGGUUCGAUGACGGUACCCGCAGAAUAAGCACCGGCUAACUACGUG